RNAcentral lists this ribosomal RNA (417 nucleotides) under Triticum aestivum (bread wheat). RNAcentral's name for it is "partial small subunit ribosomal RNA". Lineage: Eukaryota; Viridiplantae; Streptophyta; Magnoliopsida; Poales; Poaceae. The record is from RNAcentral.
AUGGGCACAGGCAUAUACUUAUUGGAUAAGGAACACCUGCCCAUCCGUCCAGAUUUUGAAGAUAAUCAAGUUGUCAUGAAUGAGAAUGAACCAUCAUCUGCACAAGCACAAGCAAAGAAGGAGAAGGCAAGGAAGGAGAAAGCUGCCAAGAUGCCAACUCAAGAGGAGGCAUCUGAGUAUUUCUUGAAAACCAAACAAGAGCAGCUUGGUUACUUGAUUGCAUCCACACUGAGGAUUGAGCAAGGACUGGCCACCCUCACUCAGAAUCAGCAGAGCUUAGAGAGGAUCAUGGAACAAAAGUUCUAUGACUUGGAUGUCAAAGUGACAGAGAUUCAGACUGCAGUGGAGCAGCUCCAGGAUGACAUGCAUGAGAGGAGAGGCAAGACUACAACUGAUGCCUUUGCCAGAGUGCCAUGA